This 107-nucleotide ribosomal RNA is filed under the name Arenicellales bacterium. RNAcentral's name for it is "partial 16S ribosomal RNA". It matches the Rfam family "Bacterial small subunit ribosomal RNA", at positions 1 to 106 of the family's 1533-position model. The record is from RNAcentral. Lineage: Bacteria; Pseudomonadati; Pseudomonadota; Gammaproteobacteria; Arenicellales.
GAACUGGAGAGUUUGAUCCUGGCUCAGAUUGAACGCUGGCGGUAGGCCUAACACAUGCAAGUCGAACGGUAACGGACCGCUGGGAUCCCUUCGGGGUGACCUUGGUG